UACGUAGGGGGCAAGCGUUAUCCGGAUUUACUGGGUGUAAAGGGAGCGUAGACGGUUACGCAAGUCAGAUGUGAAAGCCCAGGGCUCAACCCUGGGACUGCAUUUGAAACUGCGAAACUAGAGUGCAGGAGAGGUAAGUGGAAUUCCUAGUGUAGCGGUGAAAUGCGUAGAUAUUAGGAGGAACACCAGUGGCGAAGGCGGCUUACUGGACUGUAACUGACGUUGAGGCUCGAAAGCGUGGGGAGCAAACAGG
RNAcentral lists this ribosomal RNA (253 nucleotides) under uncultured bacterium. RNAcentral's name for it is "partial 16S ribosomal RNA". It matches the Rfam family "Bacterial small subunit ribosomal RNA", at positions 524 to 776 of the family's 1533-position model. The record is from RNAcentral.